AUUUAUAUAGUUUAAAUAAAACAUUUCAUUUUCAAUGAAAAAAAAGCAUUAGCUUAUAAAUU
RNAcentral lists this transfer RNA (62 nucleotides) under Aradacanthia heissi. RNAcentral describes it as "tRNA-Glu". The record is from RNAcentral. Lineage: Eukaryota; Metazoa; Arthropoda; Insecta; Hemiptera; Aradidae.